Molecule: ribosomal RNA, 332 nt
Filed under: uncultured bacterium
Lineage: Bacteria
Description: bacterial SSU rRNA
Rfam family: Bacterial small subunit ribosomal RNA
Source: RNAcentral
UGCGCAGGCGGUUUAUUAAGACAGAUGUGAAAUCCCCGGGCUUAACCUGGGAACUGCAUUUGUGACUGGUAGGCUAGAGUGUAGCAGAGGGGGGUAGAAUUCCACGUGUAGCAGUGAAAUGCGUAGAGAUGUGGAGGAAUACCGAUGGCGAAGGCAGCCCCCUGGGUUAACACUGACGCUCAUGCACGAAAGCGUGGGGAGCAAACAGGAUUAGAUACCCUGGUAGUCCACGCCCUAAACGAUGUCAACUAGGUGUUGGGGAAGGAGACUUCCUUAGUACCGCAGCUAACGCGUGAAGUUGACCGCCUGGGGAGUACGGCCGCAAGGUUGAA